Molecule: ribosomal RNA, 253 nt
Filed under: uncultured bacterium
Lineage: Bacteria
Description: partial 16S ribosomal RNA
Rfam family: Bacterial small subunit ribosomal RNA
Source: RNAcentral
UACGGGGGGGGCAAGCGUUGUUCGGAAUUACUGGGCGUAAAGGGCUCGUAGGCGGCCCUCUCAGUCGGAUGUGAAAUCCCCAGGCUCAACUUGGGAACGGCAUCCGAUACUGGAGGGCUUGAAUUCGGGAGAGGGAUGCAGAAUUCCAGGUGUAGCGGUGAAAUGCGUAGAUAUCUGGAGGAACACCGGUGGCGAAGGCGGGACUCUGGGCCGAUACUGACGCUGAGGAGCGAAAGCGUGGGGAGCGAACAGG